AGAGUUUGAUCCUGGCUCAGAUUGAACGCUGGCGGCAUGCUUUACACAUGCAAGUCGAACGGUAACAGGCCGCAAGGUGCUGACGAGUGGCGAACGGGUGAGUAAUGUAUCGGAACGUGCCCAGUCGUGGGGGAUAACGCAGCGAAAGCUGCGCUAAUACCGCAUACGAUCUAUGGAUGAAAGCGGGGGACCGUAAGGCCUCGCGCGAUUGGAGCGGCCGAUAUCAGAUUAGGUAGUUGGUGGGGUAAAGGCUCACCAAGCCAACGAUCUGUAGCUGGUCUGAGAGGACGACCAGCCACACUGGGACUGAGACACGGCCCAGACUCCUACGGGAGGCAGCAGUGGGGAAUUUUGGACAAUGGGCGCAAGCC
RNAcentral lists this ribosomal RNA (371 nucleotides) under uncultured bacterium. RNAcentral's name for it is "bacterial SSU rRNA". It matches the Rfam family "Bacterial small subunit ribosomal RNA", at positions 8 to 383 of the family's 1533-position model. The record is from RNAcentral.